This 253-nucleotide ribosomal RNA is filed under the name uncultured bacterium. RNAcentral describes it as "partial 16S ribosomal RNA". It matches the Rfam family "Bacterial small subunit ribosomal RNA", at positions 524 to 776 of the family's 1533-position model. The record is from RNAcentral.
UACGUAGGGGGCGAGCGUUGUCCGGAAUUAUUGGGCGUAAAGAGCGUGUAGGCGGUUCGGUAAGUCUGUCGUGAAAUCCUGGGGCUCAACCUCGGGCGUGCGAUGGAUACUGCCGGGCUAGAGGGUGGUAGAGGCGAGUGGAAUUCCCGGUGUAGCGGUGAAAUGCGCAGAUAUCGGGAGGAACACCAGUAGCGAAGGCGGCUCGCUGGGCCGCACCUGACGCUGAGACGCGAAAGCUAGGGGAGCGAACAGG